GUUUAUUUUCUUAUUAUUAAGGUUUGUUUAUUGUAGUUUUUAAUAAAAAUAUUUUUUAUGUUGUUUGUCUUUGUAUAUUUAUAGAAAAGAUAAGUUGAUUUAUAGUUAAUUUGUAUUGUGAAAGGUAGAUGAAAUAAAUUGAAACUUUAUUUUUAUAAAAGUAUAUUUUGUUUAUAGUACCUUGUGUAUCAGGGUUUAUUAAUAUUUAUUUAUUUAUUUAUUUAUCUCGAUUUAAUAAGAGUUAAUAAAUUAUAUUAUUUAAUGUGGAAUAAUUAUUGAUAAUAAUUUGUUAGAGAUGAAAUGUUAUUCGAUUUUUAAGAUAUCUAGUUUUUCAAGAAUUGAAUUUAAUUCAGGUAUUAAUAUUUUAAUAAUUAAAUUUUUUUAGUUGUUUUUAGUUUUUACUAAUAUAUUGGGGGAUAAGCUUAAAUAUAUAAUUUAUAUUUUAUUAUUGUUAUGAAGAUUUAUAGGGUUAGAAUUAUCCACUUUUUUAAUUUUGUUAUAAUUUAACUUUGAUUAUUUUUGAUUUUAUUAAUUUUGAGUUUUUAUUGAAAUUAAUUUCUUAAUUUGGAAGAAUUUGUAAUAAUGAUGAAAUUAGUAUAUAGUUAUUAUUUAUUUAGUAUUGGUUGGUAAGAUUAAUAUAAGGAAUUAGGCAAAUUUUAUACUCGCCUGUUUAUCAAAAACAUGUCUUCUUGUUAUAUAUAUGAAGUCUGGUCUGCCCACUGAAUUAUUGAAGGGCCGCGGUAUUUUGACCGUGCAAAGGUAGCAUAAUCAUUAGUCUUUUAAUUGGGGGCUGGAAUGAAGGGCUGCACGAGGUAUAGACUGUCUUAUUUAAAUUGUUGUUAGAAUUUAAUUUUUAAGUUAAAAAGCUUAAAUUUUUUUAGAGGACGAGAAGACCCUAUAGAACUUUAUAUAAAUUUAAUAUAGGUGGCUUUUGGUUGUUUUUAUAUUUAUUUAUAUUUAUAUUUUGUUGGGGUGAUAGGAAAAUAAUAUUAACUUUUUUUAUUAAUUUACAUUAAUUUAUGGUUAUUUGAUCCAUUUUUAGUGAUUAUAAGAUUAAGUUACCUUAGGGAUAACAGCGUAAUUUUCCCUUAGAGUUCUUAUCGACGGGAAAGCUUGCGACCUCGAUGUUGGAUUAAGAUUAAUUUUUGGUGUAGAAGCUUAAAUAUUAGGUCUGUUCGACCUUUAAAUUCUUACAUGAUCUGAGUUCAGACCGGUGUAAGCCAGGUCGGUUUCUAUCCUUAAUAUUUUGAUAUAUUUUAGUACGAAAGGACCAAAUAUUAGGAAUAUAUUUCUUUAUUUUUGAUUAUUAAUAA
RNAcentral lists this ribosomal RNA (1313 nucleotides) under Grylloblatta sculleni. RNAcentral describes it as "large subunit ribosomal RNA". The stretch from base 878 to 1242 matches the Rfam family "Archaeal large subunit ribosomal RNA", at positions 2150 to 2716 of the family's 2987-position model. The record is from RNAcentral. Lineage: Eukaryota; Metazoa; Arthropoda; Insecta; Grylloblattodea; Grylloblattidae.